AAGGAAUAUUGGUCAAUGCCCGGAAGGGUGAACCAGCCAUCCCGCGUGAAGGAUGAAGGGGCUCUGCCUUGUAAACUUCUUUUGUAUGGGGCGAAAAAAGGGGAUUUAUCCUCGACUGACGGUACCAUAAGAAUAAGCACCGGCUAACUCCGUGCCAGCAGCCGCGGUAAUACGGAGGGUGCGAACGUUAUCCGGAAUCACUGGGUUUAAAGGGUGCGUAGGCUGUUUAAUAAGUCAGUGGUGAAAGGCCGUCGCUUAACGAUGGGACUGCCAUUGAUACUGUUAGACUUGAAUCAGGUUGAGGUUGGCGGAAUGUGGCAUGUAGCGGUGAAAUGCAUAGAUAUGCCAUGGAAUACCGAUUGCGAAGGCAGCUGACUGGACCUUGAUUGACGCUGAGGCACGAAAGCGUGGGUAGCGAAC
This 420-nucleotide ribosomal RNA is filed under the name uncultured bacterium. RNAcentral's name for it is "bacterial SSU rRNA". It matches the Rfam family "Bacterial small subunit ribosomal RNA", at positions 356 to 773 of the family's 1533-position model. The record is from RNAcentral.